Molecule: ribosomal RNA, 492 nt
Filed under: uncultured bacterium
Lineage: Bacteria
Description: partial 16S ribosomal RNA
Rfam family: Bacterial small subunit ribosomal RNA
Source: RNAcentral
AUUGAACGCUGGCGGCAUGCUUUACACAUGCAAGUCGAACGGUAACAGGCCUUCGGGUGCUGACGAGUGGCGAACGGGUGAGUAAUGCAUCGGAACGUACCCAGAGGUGGGGGAUAACGCAGCGAAAGCUGUGCUAAUACCGCAUGUGAUCUGAGGAUGAAAGCGGGGGACCGAGCAGCAAUGGUUGGCCUCGCGCCUUUGGAGCGGCCGAUGUCGGAUUAGCUAGUUGGUGGGGUAAAGGCCUACCAAGGCGACGAUCCGUAGCUGGUCUGAGAGGACGACCAGCCACACUGGGACUGAGACACGGCCCAGACUCCUACGGGAGGCAGCAGUGGGGAAUUUUGGACAAUGGGCGCAAGCCUGAUCCAGCAAUGCCGCGUGCGGGAAGAAGGCCUUCGGGUUGUAAACCGCUUUUGGCAGGAACGAAACGGUGUCCGCUAAUACCGGGCGCUAAUGACGGUACCUGCAGAAUAAGCACCGGCUAACUACGUG